GACGAACGCUGGCGGCGUGCUUAACACAUGCAAGUCGAACGGAAAGGCCCUGCUUUUGUGGGGUGCUCGAGUGGCGAACGGGUGAUUAACACGUGAGUAACCUGCCCUUGACUUUGGGAUAACUUCAGGAAACUGGGGCUAAUACCUGAUAGGAGCUCCUGCUGCAUGGUGGGGGUUGGAAAGUUUCGGCGGUUGGGGAUGGACUCGCGGCUUAUCAGCUUGUUGGUGGGGUAGUGGCUUACCAAGGCUUUGACGGGUAGCCGGCCUGAGAGGGUGACCGGCCACAUUGGGACUGAGAUACGGCCCAGACUACUACGGGAGGCAGCAGUGGGGAAUAGUGCACAAUGGGCGGAAGCCUGAUGCAGCAACGCCGCGUGCGGGAUGACGGCCUUCGGGUUGUAAACCGCUUUCGCCUGUGACGAAGAGUGAGUGACGGUAAUGGGUAAAGAAGCACCGGCUAACUACGUG
This 468-nucleotide ribosomal RNA is filed under the name uncultured bacterium. Its description in RNAcentral is "partial 16S ribosomal RNA". It matches the Rfam family "Bacterial small subunit ribosomal RNA", at positions 28 to 507 of the family's 1533-position model. The record is from RNAcentral.